Molecule: ribosomal RNA, 560 nt
Filed under: Shigella sp.
Lineage: Bacteria; Pseudomonadati; Pseudomonadota; Gammaproteobacteria; Enterobacterales; Enterobacteriaceae
Description: bacterial SSU rRNA
Rfam family: Bacterial small subunit ribosomal RNA
Source: RNAcentral
AACGAUGUCGACUUGGAGGUUGUGCCCUUGAGGCGUGGCUUCCGGAGCUAACGCGUUAAGUCGACCGCCUGGGGAGUACGGCCGCAAGGUUAAAACUCAAAUGAAUUGACGGGGGCCCGCACAAGCGGUGGAGCAUGUGGUUUAAUUCGAUGCAACGCGAAGAACCUUACCUGGUCUUGACAUCCACGGAAGUUUUCAGAGAUGAGAAUGUGCCUUCGGGAACCGUGAGACAGGUGCUGCAUGGCUGUCGUCAGCUCGUGUUGUGAAAUGUUGGGUUAAGUCCCGCAACGAGCGCAACCCUUAUCCUUUGUUGCCAGCGGUCCGGCCGGGAACUCAAGGAGACUGCCAGUGAUAAACUGGAGGAAGGUGGGGAUGACGUCAAGUCAUCAUGGCCCUUACGACCAGGGCUACACACGUGCUACAAUGGCGCAUACAAAGAGAAGCGACCUCGCGAGAGCAAGCGGACCUCAUAAAGUGCGUCGUAGUCCGGAUUGGAGUCUGCAACUCGACUCCAUGAAGUCGGAAUCGCUAGUAAUCGUGGAUCAGAAUGCCACGGUGAA